GCCACGUAUCCUUCUUCGUACAACACCCUUAUCCCCAAGGAUCCUUCAUCAUCACGCCAACCAAUUACAACCACAAGUUCCCUUCGACCAAUCCCAAGGUUCCUUCGUCAACAAGUUAUCAUCCUUAACCACUCGUUUCAUGGGGCAUUCCUCUAUAAAUACCCAUGCAAUCGAAUGAAAGAGGCAGAACGCAUCAAGGAUUAGACACAGCAGCAGCCGAAGUUCUCAAGCUCUCAAGUCUCAUAGUUUUUCUCUCCUUUUUCUCUUCUCUUCUUUUCUUAGCUUUCCUCUUUCUUCCUUUCUGAAGACAGUAAGAUAGUUACUAUUUUCAGCCACUUGUACAUCGAUAAAAGUCGGUAACGUUCAUAUGACUUUUAUAUUAUUUUCAAAUGUGUGAUUGUCAUCUCUCUGCUUUACCUUCUUACUAUCCUAAAGAAUGGAGAAAGUUUGCCAGCCUUUGUAUAUGUAAUCAGU
Molecule: long non-coding RNA, 474 nt
Filed under: Amborella trichopoda
Lineage: Eukaryota; Viridiplantae; Streptophyta; Magnoliopsida; Amborellales; Amborellaceae
Description: long non-coding RNA (ATRI_LNC001140)
Source: RNAcentral